This 90-nucleotide microRNA precursor is filed under the name Oryza punctata. Its description in RNAcentral is "pre miRNA mir-160". It matches the Rfam family "mir-160 microRNA precursor family". From Rfam's summary of the family: The hairpin precursors (represented here) are predicted based on base pairing and cross-species conservation -- their extents are not known. In this case the mature sequence is excised from the 5' arm of the hairpin. The record is from Rfam by way of RNAcentral. Lineage: Eukaryota; Viridiplantae; Streptophyta; Magnoliopsida; Poales; Poaceae.
AUAUGCCUGGCUCCCUGUAUGCCGCUCGCAUGGCUGCCAACCUCUCUCGUUGUUGGCCGCUGCGUACGGCGUGCGAGGUGCCAAGCAUGG